CAUCCUCUUAAGAAAAAUGAAAUACUUGAUAUCUUUUGUAAUGGACUAACUGAUGCCUCCAGAGAUUACCUGGAUAGUUGUGCUGGUUCUGUUUUCAGGGAAGGAACACCAGAUGAAGCUGAAAUUCUAUUGAAUAAUAUGUUGACAAAUGAAAAUAAUUGGACACCUCCGGAGCCAAUUCAUGAGCCUAUUCCUAAACCCACUCCGAAAAAGAGGGGUAUUCUAUUUCUCAGUCCUGAAGAUAUGCAAGAGGCAAAGAAAUCUAUGAAAGAAAAAAGUAUUAAAGCUGAAGAUGUUAAUAAUUUACCUCCUAUUAAAGAAAUACAUGGUCUUAAUUUACCGCUUGUUGAAGAAACAUAUGAU
RNAcentral lists this ribosomal RNA (363 nucleotides) under Triticum aestivum (bread wheat). Its description in RNAcentral is "partial small subunit ribosomal RNA". Lineage: Eukaryota; Viridiplantae; Streptophyta; Magnoliopsida; Poales; Poaceae. The record is from RNAcentral.